This is a long non-coding RNA of Coregonus clupeaformis (lake whitefish), 635 nucleotides long. RefSeq lists it as uncharacterized. The record is from RefSeq and is a predicted model, not a curated record. NCBI's taxonomy places the organism in Eukaryota, Metazoa, Chordata, Actinopteri, Salmoniformes, Salmonidae. The transcript has 2 exons.
CAAAGGCCUCAGUCUCACCAUCACCAGCUCCAACCAUCAGUAUGUCCAGCUUGGUGUUGUUUCUCAGAGAGGUUCUCAGGGAGGUCCCUGGAUGGCUACUGUGGGUUGUGGUCUUCCUGCCUGUCACUCUGCUGCUGAUAAAGAUGAUUGUUUACCUGAACUGGAAGCUGAAGGAAGGUCGCAGUUGUAAAUGAGAACGUGUUCUCAACUGGCUUACCUGGUUAAAUAAAGGUGAAAUAAAAAUAAAAUAAAACAUCACACAGGCAGAGAUGACGGGCUGGGGGGAGGAUGUACACCUGAGAAGGGGAACUGUUGAUGGCCCCCUACUGGAUAUUGCCCUGCUGGGUACAGUACAGCCCUCUGAAAACUCACAGGACAUGCAGACACAAUAGUGUUUCUUGGAGAGCACAGUGGAUGGAGAUGCUGAAUAUAAGUACUGAGUACUAUCCACCGCCAGAUCAUGGAUAAAACACCAGCUAAGCCACAGAGUGAAGCAGCAACCUGCAAAGGACUAGAAUAUGGAAUUCCAAAUCACUGUUUACAAACUGUUGGAAUGCAGAGACAAUGUGCAUUUUUUAUUACUAAAAUGAUCGUGUUUAUUGUACCAUCAGUAUUAAAUUCUAAGAAUGCUUCAA